Molecule: ribosomal RNA, 253 nt
Filed under: uncultured bacterium
Lineage: Bacteria
Description: partial 16S ribosomal RNA
Rfam family: Bacterial small subunit ribosomal RNA
Source: RNAcentral
UACGAAGGGUGCAAGCGUUGUUCGGAAUUACUGGGCGUAAAGCGCGCGUAGGCGGAUCUAUAAGUCGGAUGUGAAAUCCCCAGGCUUAACCUGGGAAUUGCAUCCGAAACUGUAGACCUUGAAUGCUUGAGAGGAUGACGGAAUUCCUGGUGUAGAAGUGAAAUUCGUAGAUAUCAGGAGGAACACCGGAGGCGAAGGCGGUUGUCUGGCGAUGCAUUGACGCUGAGGCGCGAAAGCGUGGGUAGCAAACAGG